GACGAACGCUGGCGGCGUGCUUAACACAUGCCAGUCGAACGGUGACGCGAGUACUUCCACUCGUGGAUCAGUGGCGAACGGGUGAGUAACACGUGAGUAACCUGCCCAUCUCUCUGGGAUAAGCUCUGGAAACGGUGCCUACUACUGUAUACGACCAGCCCUUGCAUGGGGUGUUGGUGGAAAUCUUUCGCGGUGCUGGUUGGUCUCGCGGUCUAUCAGCUGGUUGGUGGGGUAAUGGCCCACCAAGGCGACGACGGGUAGCCGACCUGAGAGGGUGAACGGCGACACUGGGACUGAGAGACGGAGCAGAGGCGUACGGGAGGCAGCAGUGGGGAAUAUGGCACAAUGGGCGAAAGCCUGAUGCAGCGACGCCGCGCGAGGGAUGACGGCCUUCGGGGUGUAAACAGCUGUAAGCAGAGAAGAAGCGAAAGUGACGGUACCUGAAGAAGAAGCACCGGCUAACUACGUG
RNAcentral lists this ribosomal RNA (469 nucleotides) under uncultured bacterium. RNAcentral describes it as "partial 16S ribosomal RNA". It matches the Rfam family "Bacterial small subunit ribosomal RNA", at positions 28 to 507 of the family's 1533-position model. The record is from RNAcentral.